AUGAACGCUGGCGGCGUGCCUAAUACAUGCAAGUCGAGCGAACAGACGAGGAGCUUGCUCCUCUGACGUUAGCGGCGGACGGGUGAGUAACACGUGGAUAACCUACCUAUAAGACUGGGAUAACUUCGGGAAACCGGAGCUAAUACCGGAUAAUAUAUUGAACCGCAUGGUUCAAUAGUGAAAGACGGUUUUGCUGUCACUUAUAGAUGGAUCCGCGCCGCAUUAGCUAGUUGGUAAGGUAACGGCUUACCAAGGCAACGAUGCGUAGCCGACCUGAGAGGGUGAUCGGCCACACUGGAACUGAGACACGGUCCAGACUCCUACGGGAGGCAGCAGUAGGGAAUCUUCCGCAAUGGGCGAAAGCCUGACGGAGCAACGCCGCGUGAGUGAUGAAGGUCUUCGGAUCGGAAAACUCUGUUAUUAGGGAAGAACAAAUGUGUAAGUAACUAUGCACGUCUUGACGGUACCUAAUCAGAAAGCCAAGGCUAACUACG
RNAcentral lists this ribosomal RNA (494 nucleotides) under uncultured bacterium. Its description in RNAcentral is "partial 16S ribosomal RNA". It matches the Rfam family "Bacterial small subunit ribosomal RNA", at positions 29 to 505 of the family's 1533-position model. The record is from RNAcentral.